This is a long non-coding RNA of Zea mays, 1163 nucleotides long. RefSeq lists it as uncharacterized. The transcript has 2 exons. NCBI's taxonomy places the organism in Eukaryota, Viridiplantae, Streptophyta, Magnoliopsida, Poales, Poaceae. The record is from RefSeq and is a predicted model, not a curated record.
AGCGGCGACAGAACGCAACAAGAGAAGAAGAAAACCCCACGGAAAGGAAGGCUCAGACAAGACAGCCGGGGAGCGGCGGAAGCCACGCAUGCGCAUGCAUCUGAAUCCGGAGUGCUGGUUUCGUUCCUCACUCACCCCAUCUGCGGCGUCAGCCCGAGCCCGUUGGCGAAGAGGACGCGCCGGCCGCCUCCGCCUGCAGGCAGCGGCGGCCUGGCGUAGUCCGCAGCGUCGAGCGCUGCCACCGCGGCGGCGAGGCAGGCGGCCAGCAGGAGGAGCGCGGCCGUCGUACUCGGACACAGGCUCUGAAUCUCGGGCGCCAUCCUUGUUGCUUCGGCGCUGCGUCGCGUCCUGCCUGCGUACUCUGUGGGCUUGUCACCAUGCCGGUAUCCGUAUAUAUGCGUGCGCUGGAGAAGAGGAGAAGGGGGCGUACCAGUGCGCACGCGCUGCAGUCUGUGCGGCAGCGGUACUCCAGCUUGUCUGACGCGUGACGGGCCCGGGGUGUCGGACGUAGCCGGGAGAGGUGCGCGGGAAUCGCUCAAUUAAAAGCCGUGACACACGGGCGACAGCUUGUUGUGGACGACAGCUUGUUGUGGGCGCCCUGCAUGCGGUGAUUUGGUCUGCUUGCCUCCUGCGAUUAAAAUAUGAUUUCUCAAAUCAAAACAACAGGUAUGGCAAUUAAAAUGCGAUUUCGAACGAACCCAAAGUUUCGCCGUGACUGGUUAUGAACGGCAAAUGUGUUGUCAAUGUACAGGCAAAAAAAAAGUAAUCUAGCAAUACAAGCAUACAACCGAAUCACACCCCGUCAGUCCGUCACAGUUUUCAUCACUUCUGAAUGAAUGGAUGAACGACGGCGUAACUAUGGACGCAAGCAACCCUCCAGCCGUAUAAAUAGAUAUACCUCUGCUCAACACCCAUCAUUUUUGGACCGUUGGAGGCAAACAAGUAACCAAAAAUAACGCUGGCAUAACACGCAUGCAUUAGAUUCGCCACUUAGGACCCAUCAACAUAUUGCUGCAGUGUCUCAGUUCUCAAAUCAGUCCCCAGUUCAAGCGUUACAAAUUAUACAGCUCAGGUUCAAAGGAGGCACACGACAUACAAACGUUAAGUCUGACAUUUUCAUUUCCCCCAGAAGACUGUUUACAUAGGUAAUGUGGCGAGUAAUA